Molecule: ribosomal RNA, 510 nt
Filed under: uncultured bacterium
Lineage: Bacteria
Description: partial 16S ribosomal RNA
Rfam family: Bacterial small subunit ribosomal RNA
Source: RNAcentral
GACGAACGCUGGCGGCGUGCUUAACACAUGCAAGUCGAACGAAGAGCGACGGAAGCUUGCUUCUAUCAAUCUUAGUGGCGAACGGGUGAGUAACGCGUAAUCAACCUGCCCUUCAGAGGGGGACAACAGUUGGAAACGACUGCUAAUACCGCAUACGAUCUAACCUCGGCAUCGAGGAUAGAUGAAAGGUGGCCUCUACAUGUAAGCUAUCACUGAAGGAGGGGAUUGCGUCUGAUUAGCUAGUUGGAGGGGUAACGGCCCACCAAGGCGAUGAUCAGUAGCCGGUCUGGGAGGAUGAACGGCCACAAUGGGACUGAGACACGGCCCAGACUCCUACGGGAGGCAGCAGUGGGGAAUCUUCCGCAAUGGACGAAAGUCUGACGGAGCAACGCCGCGUGAGUGAUGACGGCCUUCGGGUUGUAAAGCUCUGUUAAUCGGGACGAAAGGCCUUCUUGCGAAUAGUGAGAAGGAUUGACGGUACCGGAAUAGAAAGCCACGGCUAACUACGUG